Molecule: non-coding RNA, 1648 nt
Organism: Gasterosteus aculeatus aculeatus (three-spined stickleback)
Lineage: Eukaryota; Metazoa; Chordata; Actinopteri; Perciformes; Gasterosteidae
Source: RefSeq, a predicted model, not a curated record
ACUGAGACAGAAGAGGAGGAAGAGAAAGAGGACAGAAAGUACAGGGGGAAGAAGGAAAAGGAACUGUCACCACAAAGAGAACCCCGGAGGUUUGAUUGGUUGAUUGAGGUUCAGAUAUUUGUAAAGUGAAACAGUCAUUGAAAGAUUUGAUUUGAUUAAAUUCAAUUCAAUGAAUUUUAUUUUGUAUAGCCCAAAAUUGCAAAUUACAAAUUUUCCUCAAGAGGGCUUUACAGUCUGUACACAUGCAACAUCCUCUGUCCUAGGAAGGGGCAGUAUACCAUUUCAACCGCUAUACAAGUACUAAGAUUUCCCUACGGUACGACAUGGUCACAUACUGGUCAUAUACCAGUGUUAACCCGUAACAAAUGACCUUGCUCUUCAGUAGGCAGAAACAUUUAUAUUUUCACCUCAUUGCUGAGUGCCCAGCAGUCAGAGCUACUUGUGUUACGUGUAUUGAGUUUGAGUCAUGCUCAUAACUUUAUAACAGCAAUUAAUAACACACAACAAAUGUUCUUUAACAGGGUAAAACACCACGACACAACAGCUUGUGACACACAAACAAUGUGAAACACUUGUAACCCAGGUUGAAACAUUGGUUUUGCCGUCCCCUGGCCCUCUUAAGAUGCGAUCUCACGCAACCCCAGUCACGUGACUGUGCUUGGCCAAUCGCGCAGUAGAGCACGAGUUUAAACCAGGCUGCAGCGUCUUCCUCAUUCAGAGGUGUGGGGAAGCUGAUCGGCAGCUGUGGACAGGUUUGUGUUCAACAAACAAUUCACUCUUGUGCUUGAUUUAUUCUUUGAGAUUAAAACAUAUCAUUGUAACUUUUAGAAUAACUUAGUGGCUGCAGGGAAUCGUCACCGUCAUCAGGUUGCCAUAUGUUUACAUAGAGGAACUGGUUUCUGUGGAUGGUAGUCACAUCUGAUGGUGGAACACUAGGUAUGUACCUGUUUUUACUUUUAUUUAAGAUCACACACCUGCUCAGUUUGCUUUGGAUCACCAGGAGCCUCCAAGGGACAGCUGGCACCAGAAAGGUGGAGAUUCUGAUGAUGUCAUGUUAUCCUCAUACUGUUACAUCAUUGCUGGAAUGAAUAUUUUACGGGCACUUCUUCUGUCUGGUGACCGUCAUCACGAGUGAAAACAACUUUCUGCAGAUUUUCACAACAAAAGCCUUCCAUAGAAGAUAACUGACUUUUAAUGCGAAAUAGCUGCAAGAGUGAGAUUCAACCUGUGUGUGCGUGUCAUGUGUACCUGUAUCUUGUUGCUACGCUGGGCCGGACCCCCCUCCAUUAGUCCCAGUACAUAGAGCCCCAUGUUGUACUCGCUGCCCCCGCGCAGGGAGAACCCGAACCCUGUGGGACCUCGUUCCAGAUCCACGUUGUAGAACCUGGACUCUUCCUGAGGGAUGGGCACACAAUACAAGUACUGCUGAUACUAGUGAGACUACUAGUGAGACUACUAUAAUGAAUACUGAUCCUUUCACCAGCCGGCCAGCGAUGUCCAGGUCUGCCCCCCUCAACAGAGAGGACGAGUCUGAGGAGAGAGGAUGUUCUCAAAUCAUGUAAUUCAUACUUCACUUAUCUUUCUAGAAAAUAGUUCCUAUUUUAAUAACAUUUUUACAAAUGCAUUAAUAUUCUCCGCUAAAAGUGUA